GGAUCUCCUCCGACCCCGAAGGAGAGCGGGGUGGGGGGUAGGGGGUGCGAGCGAGCCGGGCGCAGAGCGGGCGGACCUCGGCGGCGGGGCUGCAGGUGGAGCCCGGGAGCGACCGAGCCGAGGCGCCUCCUUCCUGCACGGUUCCCGGCCCCGUGCGCGCCGCCCCCGGCGGAGGUCCCAGCGGGGGCGCCUCCGGCCGGAGCCCAGCCCUCGCCUGCCCCACCCCCACAGCGGCUCUCGUAGGGGGAAGGGAAAAAAAAAAAACAAACCCGGACAGCAUUGCUGCGUUGUGCCAAAUCAGAAAAAUAAAUAAAAAUAGACGUAGUGCAGGAGCCAGUUACAAGAAAGGAUUUGCCCAUCGAUUUUCUUAAAUGGAAAAGUUUUUUAAAGGGCGAGGGUAAGUGAAUGGCGCGCCCGCCCGUUCUGUAUGACUGUAUCCGAGGUGGAUCCCCGAGGCGGCGGACGCUGCGCGCGGCCGGCGCGGGCGAAGGCGCACCUGGACCGGGGGCGCGCGGCUCUCGGCGCACGGACGCGUGGCGCAGCGGGCAAGCGCGCGCGGGGACGACGCGACGGCGUGGCGGACCCAGCGAUCGGCCGUGCAACUUGUGCGCUCGCGAGGGUGCAAGGGCUCCAGCGGUCCCUGUCGUCGCCGUCUUCCUCGUCUGUCACAUCCUGUCAUCAUCAGGUGCCACCGGCCCCCCUCAGACCGUGUCCCAGUGGGCUCACUUCCCAUCUUCCGGGGAUCGCAGGGUCCGAGCCAGGCUCAUCUUCCCUGGGAUUCAGCCCUGGCAGUCAGGGUGGCCCCUGCACAGAGGAUGAGCUUCUAACAAAGAGUUGCCUCUCUGGGCUCCAGCGAGCUAUCCACGUGGAAAAUAACAAAGUUAGACUCUGCCUCACAGCACCUCUGAAAAUAAAUUCCAGAUGGAUGGAAGAGCUAAAAGGAAAAGAAAAAUAA
RNAcentral lists this long non-coding RNA (955 nucleotides) under Oryctolagus cuniculus (rabbit). RNAcentral's name for it is "lncRNA (ENSOCUG00000032551.1)". Lineage: Eukaryota; Metazoa; Chordata; Mammalia; Lagomorpha; Leporidae. The record is from RNAcentral.